Tupaia belangeri chinensis (Chinese tree shrew) is the source of this 1175-nucleotide long non-coding RNA. RefSeq lists it as uncharacterized. Lineage: Eukaryota; Metazoa; Chordata; Mammalia; Scandentia; Tupaiidae. The record is from RefSeq and is a predicted model, not a curated record. The transcript has 4 exons.
CCCACCCGCCGAUGCCCGCCUCCUGCCGCAGGGCUUGCCUGGUCCCGCUUCCGCAGCCUGGCCGAGUCCCAAUCGCGUCCUCACCCGCGACCCUGCAGCCGCGCGGGCCCGCCUCUGGGCUCCCUGCUGCGGCCCUCUGCUAAGCUGACCCAGCUCUGCGGCUCCGUCUACACCCCGCCGUACAGCAAACAACAACAAUAACAACUCAACCAGGGUGUAGAAUCUCAAGUGGAAUUAUACUGGGAUUGCAACUUGGAAAACAGAAGUUACAUUUCAUUCCUUUCAGAAAAACGGAGGAAGGGAGUUCUAAGCCAAGGAAGUAUUCCUUUAAAAAAGAGUUCAAGAGGCCAACACUGAUGAAGAUGAGAAUGUCUCGAGCUGGGCCAGUUAAGAAACUUCAUUAAGAUCGAGUACCUGUUUGUUUUCAUUUGAUACAAAAUAACCUCCCGAAAAUUGGCCUUUCCUUUAAGGCAGAGCUACAGGGACAAAGGAGAAUGCACUAAUAAGAUCUCCUCAGGUUGCCAGGAUUCGAGGAACACAACACUGCAUCUGACCUUUUGGUUGGACCAGGAAGUGAACCCAGGCCUCCCAUAGGUCUCCAGCAGUACACUCCCCCAUGGCUAGGCACUGGAGUUCCUUUUACAAGGGAUUUAUCAGCGAUGACUCAUCAAUGUGAAAAACCACCAAGUGAGCAUCAAUAAGGGCAAUCUCUGUUGAAUGCCAAAGGGAGCAAUGCUGGUUGUCUGCUGCUAUCUUUCCCUGCAUGCCAGAACUUCACUGGGGUAAAUCCAGCAAGCACUGAACACAAAUACAGGUGGCUCAGUAAAGUUGUGGCUUAUGACUAACGAGAGGUGGAAAAAGAACCAGCGUGAAACAUAAUGCCAGGGCAAGCGACAGCACAGUCUGGGUGGCUACACCUCACAGAGGAAAAACACAGGGUGUUGGAAGAAAGGCAUUUGAUGUACUCAGUCAAGUUCUCCUGCUUGGUAGUGUUUCCAGUUGCCAAAUGCUUUCCAUUGUGACCCUGAACAAGGAAGUGAUAAACUGGGACAAAGCUCAAGACAUCUCCCCCCUGCUCUGGGCAACAACAGAACUAGCAUGAAAAUGGCCUGUUGGCUAUUUCACCCAACUACGUGUCUCAUCUAAAAAUAAAAGCCAAGUACACACCUCUUAGU